UGGGGAAUUUUGGACAAUGGGCGCAAGCCUGAUCCAGCAAUGCCGCGUGCAGGAUGAAGGCCUUCGGGUUGUAAACUGCUUUUGUACGGAGCGAAAAGGUCUGCCCUAAUACGGUGGGCUCAUGACGGUACCGUAAGAAUAAGCACCGGCUAACUACGUGCCAGCAGCCGCGGUAAUACGUAUGGUGCGAGCGUUAAUCGGAUUUACUGGGCGUAAAGCGUGCGCAGGCGGUUAUAUAAGACAGAUGUGAAAUCCCCGAGCUCAACCUGGGACCUGCAUUUGAGACUGUAUAGCUAGAGUACGGUAGAGAGGGAUAGAAUUCCGCGUGUAGCAGUGAAAUGCGUAGAUAUGCGGAGGAACACCGAUAGCGAAGGCAAUCCCCUGGACAUGUACUGACGCUCAUGAACGAAAGCGUGGAGAGCAAACA
This 427-nucleotide ribosomal RNA is filed under the name uncultured bacterium. RNAcentral's name for it is "bacterial SSU rRNA". It matches the Rfam family "Bacterial small subunit ribosomal RNA", at positions 355 to 774 of the family's 1533-position model. The record is from RNAcentral.